Molecule: long non-coding RNA, 1732 nt
Organism: Passer domesticus (house sparrow)
Lineage: Eukaryota; Metazoa; Chordata; Aves; Passeriformes; Passeridae
Exons: 4
Source: RefSeq, a predicted model, not a curated record
GCUGCAGCAGUGUGGUGGGUGGUGGUGACAGGCAUUGUGUGCCUCACAGGUCGUUGUCUUGGACACUGGAGCUGGGCAAACAGUGGUUAAAAUAUCAUGUUUGCUCCUCUGCAUGGGACAGCCACUAUCACAACUUCCUUUCUGGUGACCAUUAAUGCAUCCAGUUGGAUAAUUUGGAGGGAGACCGUUUUGUAUUCUAAACAGAACAAUUCAGAUUAUCAAGUAAUCUGCUCUUUCUACACCAAAAUGUUUGCUGUUGAUUUUACUCAGUUGUUUUGGGACCCCGUGCCCUUUGUGGGAGGAGGUCAGGCUGAUCUCAAUUUUUUGGUGAAGGCUCAAAAGCAAUGACAGCUGCAUGUCUUUAUCAUCUGUUAUUGGUUUAUCCUUGUCCUAUUUUCACUUCAGACAUGCUGAAGGCAGAGCUGUGGGAAGUCAGAGCUCCAGCAGGGAAAUGUAGAACUGUCCAUGCCAAAGCAGCCUGGUAGCUUAGAGUGGAACUUCUGCAAUAACACUUGGACAAGUGAUAAAGUCUAAAUUUAAUUUCAGGAUUCAAAUUUAUUUUUAUAAUUUCUGAAAAGCAGAGACUUCCCAUAAUUUCUAGGAUACCUUUAAUGCAUGAAGUUCCCCAGAUGCCUGAAACACUACGUGCUGUCUGCUGCUCUGGUGUGUGUGACACAGGCUCAAGAGGAAGAUGAAGAAGACAGAACUUUAAUUCAUCAUUGCCUGGAACAAUUCAACCCCUGCUUUCUAAAAUGCUGUGUUGCCUGCAACUGUGGGACUUCAGCAGCAAUCCCCUUGAGUUUCAGCUUUGAGCAGUCCAAACCAAAUAACCUGCACACCCUGAAACAUUUAACAGAGCACAUCAACGUUGCUCCUUUAUUGUUUUACGUCAUCUCCUAGAAGAGAAUGGUCACUUUUAUGAGGAUGUGAGGACAGUAUCAAAUUUUAAACAACAUAAAAUAUCUCCUUCAGAUUUGUCUCUUCCAAGUGCACUGAAGUGUUACAUGAUUUUUUGUGAAUAUUUUUAACCUGGAGACAAUUUUUACAGUUGUACUGCAGUCCAUAGAAUCAGAAACUUGCAGACUAAUAGCAUAUGGAAGAACAAUGGUAAAAGUUUUUGGGAAAAGCUGAAAUGAAAAGCCCUUCAUUUUCUUUCUGAGUAAUUUUGAAAAUAGUCUAAGGUGUCUGAAUCUUACAUAUAGCACCUUACUGUUCCUCUGCCUCCCUCAUUUACAGCCAUCAUGAAAGGACUUGUGUUGUGCUAAUGGUGAGGAUUCUUGAGAUAUAUAGCAAAAUCUCCAAGAAAGAAAUUCUAUCACUUUUAAAGUAAAAUUGCUUUGUUAAAAAGUAAUUACAAGCUGCAUAAGGUCAUGGCAGCUCAUUGUUCUCUGCUGCUGUCUGUUUGAGGAGCCAAGUCAAAGCAGCUCCAGGGUGUGCUUGGUGUGGCAGAGCCACAGGUCCCUGGCAGCUCUUGGGGAACCCAUCCAGCGGGUGUGGGAAGGAACUAAUGGCUGGAAGGAAGGAAGGAAAGUGGUCUGGAUGAUUUAACAUGCAAAGCUGGACAGAAUUAUCAGUCUUUGUACAUUAAUCUUCUCUUCCAAGGAAUCACUAAUCCACUUGAGGGAGAGACUGGUGUUUUACUUGUUCAGUUCCAUGGAAGCAAUAAAAAAAUUUUUCAGAAUUUGCAGUGUUUAGUAUUACAUUUUAUGUGGUUUGCCUACUGCAAGCCUAU